ACCUUCUCGCAGAGGCUCUUGACCUGGGAUUCGGACAGCUGCUUGCACUCGUUCAGCUGCUCGAUCCACUGGUCCAGCUCCUUGGUGAACACCUUCUCGUCCAUGAUGCCA
This 111-nucleotide microRNA precursor is filed under the name Dasypus novemcinctus (nine-banded armadillo). RNAcentral's name for it is "miRNA (ENSDNOG00000041806.1)". The stretch from base 6 to 89 matches the Rfam family "mir-3661 microRNA precursor family". The record is from RNAcentral. Lineage: Eukaryota; Metazoa; Chordata; Mammalia; Cingulata; Dasypodidae.